Corvus hawaiiensis (hawaiian crow) is the source of this 825-nucleotide non-coding RNA. The record is from the annotation of a RefSeq genome assembly. Lineage: Eukaryota; Metazoa; Chordata; Aves; Passeriformes; Corvidae.
UUGACCUCCCAGAUGCCCAGCACUGGGUGUGCAGCAGAGCUGGUGAUUCCAGCUGGGGAGGUGAGGACUCCACUGCGAGCUGAGCGGGAACAGCCCCUUCCCAUGACUGAGGCCCCAGAGGCACGGAAUGGUCAGAAUGCCGGUGGCUGAGGGAGGCACGGGGGCAGCUGCUGGAGGAGGGAGACACGCAGAAGGAGCAUUUCAGGCACUGGAAGGACAGGUCAUUUCUCUGCCCCGCCUCCGCUCCUUCCUUUGCUGCCUCCAGAGAGUGGUUUCCGGCGGCUCUGUUAUCUCGGGGCUGGCAGGUGGUUUCUGCCUCUCCCUCACUCAGCAAACACGCAGCUUGGUCUCGGCAUGCACCUCGCCUAUCUCAUCCUCACGGUCUUCCUGGGCCAGCUCCUGGUGGCUGUGGCCAGAGCCCAGGUCCAGCAGGAGCCACGGCUGGAGACCACCGAGAACACCGGCAUCAACAUCAGCUGCUCACAUCCCAAAAUCCAGACCGGAGACUGGAUCCAGUGGUACCGUCAGCUCCCGGGCCGAGGACCCGAACUGCUCGCGCUCACUGUGAAAGAGUCCAAAGAGCUGCCGGACAUUGCGGGCGGUCUGUGGGUGUCGGCAGAUCGCCGGAGCAGCGCGCUGUGGCUCCGGCGGCCCCGGCGCGGGGACGCGGCCGUGUAUUACUGCGCGCUGGGGGACACGGGCAGAGGAGCCGGGGCUGCGGCCGGGCACGAACCGCCGCGGGCGGGAGACACCGGCACCGGCACUGACAUUGGCAUCAACAGCGGCAUUGACACCGACACCAACACCGAUAUUGACACCGACUGA